CGAGGGGCAGCGCGGGGUAGCAAUACUCUGGCGGCGACCGGCMAACGGGUGCGGAACACGUACGCAACCUUCCCAAAACUGGUGAAUAGCCCUCCGAAAGGAGGAUUAAUACACCGUAACAUAUAGAGAUGGCAUCAUCUUUAUAUUAUAGUUUUAAUGGUUUUGGAUGGGCGUGCGCCUGAUUAGGUAGUUGGCGGGGUAACGGCCCACCAAGCCUGCGAUCAGUAACUGGUGUGAGAGCACGACCAGUCACACGGGCACUGAGACACGGGCCCGACUCCUACGGGAGGCAGCAGUAAGGAAUAUUGGUCAAUGGACGAAAGUCUGAACCAGCCAUGCCGCGUGAAGGAUGAAGGCCCUCUGGGUUGUAAACUUCUUUUAUCUGGGACGAAAAAAGGGAAUUCUUUCCCACUUGACGGUACCAGAGGAAUAAGCACCGGCUAACUCCGUGCCAGCAGCCGCGGUAAUACGGAGGGUGCAAGCGUUAUCCGGAUUCACUGGGUUUAAAGGGAGCGUAGGUGGGCAGGUAAGUCAGUGGUGAAAUCUCCGAGCUUAACUCGGAAACUGCCAUUGAUACUAUUUGUCUUGAAUAUUCUGGAGGUAAGCGGAAUAUGUCAUGUAGCGGUGAAAUGCUUAGAUAUGACAUAGAACACCAAUUGCGAAGGCAGCUUGCUACGGAACUAUUGACACUGAGGCUCGAAAGCGUGGGGAUCAAACAGGAUUAGAUACCCUGGUAGUCCACGCCCUAAACGAUGGAUACUCGACAUCAGCGAUACACUGUUGGUGUCUGAGCGAAAGCAUUAAGUAUCCCACCUGGAAGUACGACCGCAAGGUUGAAACUCAAAGGAAUUGAC
RNAcentral lists this ribosomal RNA (854 nucleotides) under uncultured bacterium. Its description in RNAcentral is "bacterial SSU rRNA". It matches the Rfam family "Bacterial small subunit ribosomal RNA", at positions 63 to 914 of the family's 1533-position model. The record is from RNAcentral.